GGGGGGGCUAGGACGAAAUUUGAAAAAAAAUAGGCAGGACAGGAAUUUUGAGUAAAAAAAAAGGCAGGAUGAGACACUUGCAAAAAAAAAGUCAGGAUGACAAUUUAGGUAAAAAAAGUCAGGAUAAACUAAAAAAAAAAAGGCAGGACCGAAUAGAGUGAAAAAUAAAAAGGCAGGACAGAGAUUACAACUAAAAAAAAAGGCAGGACAGAGAUUACAACUAAAAAAAAAGGCAGGACAAAAUUUUUCAUCCUAGCCCCCCCAUAAAAAUCAAAUGGUAGCUCCCUUAGAAAAGUAACUUC
This 302-nucleotide long non-coding RNA is filed under the name Mytilus galloprovincialis (Mediterranean mussel). The record is from RNAcentral. Lineage: Eukaryota; Metazoa; Mollusca; Bivalvia; Mytilida; Mytilidae.